This is a long non-coding RNA of Myotis daubentonii (Daubenton's bat), 2292 nucleotides long. RefSeq lists it as uncharacterized. The record is from RefSeq and is a predicted model, not a curated record. The transcript is spliced from 2 exons. Lineage: Eukaryota; Metazoa; Chordata; Mammalia; Chiroptera; Vespertilionidae.
GUGGCCACAAUAGUUGCAGGCAGCAGGGCUCGAGGGACAGGGAAGCCAGGUGGAGUGGGGGAACUUGCCCGCUGAAGUGGCCAUGGGGUCUGGCAAGCGGGCUGGGAUGAGUGGCAUCAGAGGCCACUUGGGUGGAGGGCCGUGCGCCUGGCUCCCGACCCCCAACUCCUUAGGCCUCAGUGUUGAGCUGCAAGGGUGUCAGCCCUGCCCAUCUCCUCAUUCAGGAGGAGGAGGGGACAGGCUUCAGCUCUGAGAAGGGUGGGGAAGGGUGCUGGUAGCACCAGGCCGGGGAGCUGGGGUCCGUCGUGGCUCUAAAUACUGCAGCUUUCUGUGGAGGUGGCGUGGAGGUCAGCCCCUCUUCUUCCCACAUGGAGGCUGCAGAAGCUGGAGGUCCCAGGGGUGGCCUUGAGGACCCAGGUCUCUGCGGACCUCCUCGGGCAGCCCUGGGGCCAUGGCGGGAGCUUCCCUGGUCAGAGCUGGAGCAGAGGUCAGCACGUGACCCCCGCUCUGUCCCCAUGGCCUUGCCCUGACCCCCCCUUCCUCCUGGUGUGGUGCCAGCCUCUGGCUGGCUGCAGGAGAGGGGCUGCCCCUCGGGGAAAACACAGGAUGGAGAGGGUCCCCGCAGGAGGCCGUGGGCGGCGAGGAUCCUCUCCCUGGGAUCCCCGCAGCCCCAGCCUGGAGGUUUCCUAGAGAGCUGAUUGCUUCCUGUGCUCCCUGCCAGGCCCGAGAGGACAGGAAGCGAUAGCGGGAAAAGAGUGCAACUGUGGGUGCCGCUGGAGGCGUGCGCGAGAAACCCAGGGGACACUGUGGGGGAGUCUGUGCGGUGGGUGCGGGCAUGAGCGAACCAGGCACAACCAGUUUGUGUGUGCAGCUGCGUGCGAGGCUGGACAGAUGCAGGAGAGCCUGUAUGUGACAUGUCUGUGUGACUGCACUGCAUGUACAUGGGCGAGCCUGUGUGAUGAUGGUGAGUGUGGCUGAGUGCUCACGGGUGUGUUUGGGAGAGACGCUGGCUCGGACCAUCGGGGGAGCCUGAGUCUGGCCCUGGGUGGGAUUUUGAUGCUCUGCGUGUGUGAGGGGCACAGCGAUGGGGUGACGCUGUGCGUGUCAGAGUAGAAUGAGUAAUUCUGUGUGACCCAGGGUGCUGUGGCGUGGCCGCUUAUGUUGCUGCGUGUGUGCGCACAGCUUGUGAGAUGGUCUCAGUGUAUAGGACUCUCAUGGUCUGUGUGUGUGAUUAUGUGACACUGUUUUGUUUUUGUGUAGGGUUUUUGGUGGAGAUCUGGGGAAGGAUUCCAGGUGUAUAUGACAUUUUGUAUGAGAAAAACUGACGGUAUGGGAGGUGUGUGUGUGUGUGAGGGGUUGUGUGUGUGAGACACCAGGACACGGAGGGCCGCACCGGCGCAGUGGACGCGCUCAGCGCUGAGGAGGCUGCGUGUGAAGGAAGGUGUGCAGGAGCAGCACCAAGGAAACUGCUUGGCGCUGCGUGUGAGGGACCGGGGUGACAGACGCCUCUGUGGGUGGUCACUAUCUGGGAUUGUUUGGGGCUGUAGGACAGUGUGGGCAGCAUCCUGCAGGGCUGUGCCAGGCGUGGCAUGGGACCGUGUGACAAAUUGUGGUCUCAGUGCAUGUGGCAGCUGUGUGGGGGACCGUCAAAAAGAUGACUGUUAAAAACAAGACGGCAUGCAUUUAAUGCCACUGAACUGCGCACUUAAAAAUGGUUAAGGCUGGCCGCUGUGGCUCAGUGGUUGAGUGUCGAUCUAUGAACCAGGAGGUCAUGGUUCGAUUCCAGUCAGCCCAUAUGCUGUGGUUACGGGCUUGAUCACCAGUGUGGGGUGUGCUGGAGGCAGCCAAUCAAUGAUUCUCUUUCAUCAUUGAUGUUUCUACCUCUCCCUCUUCCUUCCUCUCUGAAAUCAAGAAAAGUAUAUAUUUUUAAAAAUGGUUAAAAUCGGCCCUGGCCGGGCGCGCAGUGGUUAGAGCACUGGCCCUCAGGCUGAAGGGUCCCAGGCUCCAUUCCAGUACCUCCGUGACAGGCUCAAUCCCCGCCCGCCCCGGGUCAGGGUGAGUGUGGGAGACAACCAAUCAAUGUGUCUCUCCCAUCGAUGUUUCUCUCUCUGUUUCUCCCUCUCCCUCUCCCUUCCACUCUCUCCAAAAAACAAUGGAAAAGUAUUCUCCAGUGAGGAUUAACAAAACAAAACAAAUCAGUGAAACACAUUCUCGGGGGAAGAUUUUAAAAAAUUGUUAAAAUCAUAGAUUUUAUAUUGUAUAUUUCUUAUCACAAUAAAAUGAAAAGCAGAG